Molecule: ribosomal RNA, 686 nt
Filed under: Helicobacter pylori
Lineage: Bacteria; Pseudomonadati; Campylobacterota; Epsilonproteobacteria; Campylobacterales; Helicobacteraceae
Description: partial 23S ribosomal RNA
Rfam family: Bacterial large subunit ribosomal RNA
Source: RNAcentral
GGAGCGUGAUGGGGGGACGCAUAGGGUUAAGCGAGCUAGCUGAUGGAAGCGCUAGUCUAAGGGCGUAGAUUGGAGGGAAGGCAAAUCCACCUCUGUAUUUGAAACCCAAACAGGCUCUUUGAGUCCUUUUAGGACAAAGGGAGAAUCGCUGAUACCGUCGUGCCAAGAAAAGCCUCUAAGCAUAUCCAUAGUCGUCCGUACCGCAAACCGACACAGGUAGAUGAGAUGAGUAUUCUAAGGCGCGUGAAAGAACUCUGGUUAAGGAACUCUGCAAACUAGCACCGUAAGUUCGCGAUAAGGUGUGCCACAGCGAUGUGGUCUCAGCAAAGAGUCCCUCCCGACUGUUUACCAAAAACACAGCACUUUGCCAACUCGUAAGAGGAAGUAUAAGGUGUGACGCCUGCCCGGUGCUCGAAGGUUAAGAGGAUGCGUCAGUCGCAAGAUGAAGCGUUGAAUUGAAGCCCGAGUAAACGGCGGCCGUAACUAUAACGGUCCUAAGGUAGCGAAAUUCCUUGUCGGUUAAAUACCGACCUGCAUGAAUGGCGUAACGAGAUGGGAGCUGUCUCAACCAGAGAUUCAGUGAAAUUGUAGUGGAGGUGAAAAUUCCUCCUACCCGCGGCAAGACGGAGAGACCCCGUGGACCUUUACUACAACUUAGCACUGCUAAUGGGAAUAUCAUGCGCAGG